GGAGGAUCAUUACCGAGAAAGGGGCCCCGGCCCCGGGGGUUCCGGCCCCUUAUUCUUCACCCACUGCGUACCUACCCUUGUUGCUUUGGCGGGGAAGCCCGCCAGAGGCCCCCCGAAACUCUGCGUGAACAGUGGCGUCUGAGCUGUUUCUUAAUUUAUAAAAACUUUCAACAACGGAUCUCUUGGUUCCAGCAACGAUGAAGAACGCAGCGAAAUGCGAUACGUAAUGUGAAUUGCAGAAUUCAGUGAAUCAUCGAAUCUUUGAACGCAUAUUGCGCCCCUCGGCAUUCCGGGGGGCAUACCUGUUCGAGCGUCAUUGCACCCCUCAAGCGUCGCUUGGUAUUGGGCGUUCGCCGGCGGGCGUGCCUGAAAAUCAGUGGCGGCCCGGCGCGGCUUCGAGCGUAUUGAAUGUCCUGCCGCUCUGCAAGACCGCCCCGCGGCCGGCCGCCCCAUCCACCACGGAUCUCGUUUAAUUGACCUCGGAUCAGGUAGGGAUACCCGCUGACCUUUAAGCAUAA
This 518-nucleotide ribosomal RNA is filed under the name Bulbothrix setschwanensis. Its description in RNAcentral is "eukaryotic LSU rRNA". The stretch from base 163 to 316 matches the Rfam family "5.8S ribosomal RNA". Lineage: Eukaryota; Fungi; Ascomycota; Lecanoromycetes; Lecanorales; Parmeliaceae. The record is from RNAcentral.